UACUGAUCGAAAUCAACAAAAACGAAAAAACAAAAUCAACAAUCAAAACAUGUUGUAGUUAAGAACUAAUCAUCCGGUUAACCAUCAAUGAAGAUUAUGCCAUAAUCCCUGAUAUGCAGCGGGCCGCUUGUCAUCGUGUGCCACUGCUCGAUAAUGCACAAACAUCUUAUCCGUUCUAAUCGAAAGCAACAAAAACGAAAAAACAAAUUCAACAAUCAAAACAUGUUGUAGUUAAGAACUAAUCAUCCGGUUAACCAUCAAUGAAGAUUAUGCCAUAAUCCCUGAUAUGUAGCGGGCCGCUUGUCACCGUGUGCCACUGCUCGACAAUGCACAAAAAUGCGAAAAUUAGCAAAUGUUGUAACCUUCAUUCAAUUAAAACGUAGAGCAACCAUAGUUUUCAUAGCCCAUUUGACCACUACGGGUGGGCCACUGACCCUGUCGAAGUUCCGAGUCUACAGGUCAUUGGUUCAACCACUGAGCGAAUGUCUAAUCAAACUGAUAGCUAUAUUAUGAAAAUAAAAAAAAAAGACGAUUUAAAUAUUAUAAAUAUAAAAAAUAAGAUGUUUUGUAAAUCAAAAAAUGAAUUUCAAAUAAUUUUUCAAUUAUUUUAAGUCAAGUAAAAAAUUCCUUCUACGUUUUAAGUCCAAUAUUCUUUUGAAUCUUUCAGAAAUAGGUAUUCAUUAUUGCUGCUUUUGAAUCUUUCAGAUACAACAAAAAACUUUUCUAUUCUGUAUUUUCAAUGAAUCUGUUCAUUUAAAAUCAAUGGUAUGGAUCCUACAAUUAAGCUAAUCAAGCUAUACAAUGAAUCUAUGAACUCUUUACAGUAGAAAAGAAUGAUAACUACUUAACUGUCGACCAAAUAUUUCAAGAUUUACCUCUUAGAAAUAUUCUCUAUUUUCAUGCCUUAAGUAGAGCAGUAACUACAAUAACAUCAAUGGCCGAAACUACCACCAUCGGUGGCAGCAGCAGCGAACAAGUCACUGGCGAUUGGUUCUCCGUUCCGAAACUCCGACUGCGCGAUCGC
RNAcentral lists this long non-coding RNA (1024 nucleotides) under Olea europaea (common olive). Its description in RNAcentral is "long non-coding RNA (OEUR_LNC001377)". The record is from RNAcentral. Lineage: Eukaryota; Viridiplantae; Streptophyta; Magnoliopsida; Lamiales; Oleaceae.